CAGAGGUCUCAAGCGUUGUUCGGAUUCAUUGGGCGUAAAGGGUGCGUAGGUGGCGAUGUAAGUCGGGCGUGAAAUCCCGGGGCUCAACCCCGGAACUGCGUUCGAUACUGCCUUGCUUGAGGACUGGAGAGGAGACUGGAAUUCACGGUGUAGCAGUGAAAUGCGUAGAUAUCGUGAGGAACACCGGUGGCGAAGGCGGGUCUCUAGACAGUUCCUGACACUGAGGCACGAAGGCCAGGGGAGCAAACGGGAUUAGAUACCCCGGUAGUCCUGGCAGUAAACGGUGCACGUUUGGUGUGGGAGGAUUCGACCCCUUCCGUGCCGGAGCUAACGCGUUAAACGUGCCGCCUGGGGAGUACGGUCGCAAGAUUA
RNAcentral lists this ribosomal RNA (372 nucleotides) under uncultured organism. RNAcentral's name for it is "bacterial SSU rRNA". It matches the Rfam family "Bacterial small subunit ribosomal RNA", at positions 526 to 896 of the family's 1533-position model. The record is from RNAcentral.